ACGAUUGCCUUAUUGUCAGCG
RNAcentral lists this unclassified non-coding RNA (21 nucleotides) under Chlamydomonas reinhardtii. Its description in RNAcentral is "small RNA Cre_0305". Lineage: Eukaryota; Viridiplantae; Chlorophyta; Chlorophyceae; Chlamydomonadales; Chlamydomonadaceae. The record is from RNAcentral.